Molecule: long non-coding RNA, 280 nt
Organism: Magnolia sinica
Lineage: Eukaryota; Viridiplantae; Streptophyta; Magnoliopsida; Magnoliales; Magnoliaceae
Exons: 3
Source: RefSeq, a predicted model, not a curated record
AUUUGACCCUCAACAGAUAUCACAGCCGGAGUUGUUCCAGACAGUGCUGAUCUUCGCGACUGGGUCCGGAAUCAGUCCAAUCCGGUCCCUUAUCGAGACAGGUUUCAAUGCUGAUAAGAGAUCAGAUGUACGGCUUUAUUAUGGGGCUAGAAACCUUUAGAGAAUGGCCUAUCAGGAUAGGUUCAAGGAUUGGGAAUCUUCUGGUGUUCGAAUCGUACCCGUAUUAUCACAACCGGAUGAUAGAUGGAAAGGCGAAAGUGGCUAUGUACAGUUAGUGUUU